This 305-nucleotide long non-coding RNA is filed under the name Sander lucioperca (pikeperch). RNAcentral's name for it is "lncRNA (ENSSLUG00000026016.1)". Lineage: Eukaryota; Metazoa; Chordata; Actinopteri; Perciformes; Percidae. The record is from RNAcentral.
CAUGAAGGGAACAGGCAGCUGAUAAUAACUCAGGAUGCUGCUUUGCUCAGGAGCCCUGAUGGACAGAUUCCAGACUCGCUCAGGACCUAUGAGCAGGUGUCUGACGUGGGUCUGUUCCUGUUUAACGACGCUUUGGUGCUGACGCGGCGAAAUGUACAUCACACGCCGUUCACGUUGGCUCACCAGAGCACACACACUUUCCUGGCCUCUGUGGCUCUCGCCAGCCUCGCUGUCAGAGAGAUCACACAUACACACUAUGUGUGCCAUGCCUUUGUCCUGGAGGGUCCUUGUCGUUCCUGGGUUUG